RNAcentral lists this ribosomal RNA (253 nucleotides) under uncultured bacterium. Its description in RNAcentral is "partial 16S ribosomal RNA". It matches the Rfam family "Bacterial small subunit ribosomal RNA", at positions 524 to 776 of the family's 1533-position model. RNAcentral also lists the same sequence under 1 other name. The record is from RNAcentral.
UACGAAGGGGGCUAGCGUUGUUCGGAUUUACUGGGCGUAAAGCGCACGUAGGCGGCUUGUUAAGUGAGGGGUGAAAUCCUGGAGCUCAACUCCAGAACUGCCUUUCAUACUGGCAAGCUAGAGUCCGGAAGAGGUGAGUGGAACUCCUAGUGUAGAGGUGGAAUUCGUAGAUAUUAGGAAGAACACCAGUGGCGAAGGCGGCUCACUGGUCCGGUACUGACGCUGAGGUGCGAAAGCGUGGGGAGCAAACAGG